GAUGAACGCUGGCGGCGUGCCUAAUAUAUGCAAGUCGAGCGAACGGACGAGAAGCUUGCUUCUCUGAUGUUAGCGGCGGACGGGUGAGUAACACGUGGAUAACCUACCUAUAAGACUGGGAUAACUUCGGGAAACCGUAGCUAAUACCGGGUAAUAUUUUGAACCGCAUGGUUCAAAAGUGAAAGACGGUCUUGCUGUCACUUAUAGAUGGAUCCGCGCUGCAUUAGCUAGUUGGUAAGGUAACGGCUUACCAAGGCAACGAUGCAUAGCCGACCUGAGAGGGUGAUCGGCCACACUGGAACUGAGACACGGUCCAGACUCCUACGGGAGGCAGCAGUAGGGAAUCUUCCGCAAUGGGCGAAAGCCUGACGGAGCAACGCCGCGUGAGUGAUGAAGGUCUUCGGAUCGUAAAACUCUGUUAUUAGGGAAGAACAUAUGUGUAAGUAACUGUGCACAUCUUGACGGUACCUAAUCAGAAAGCCACGGCUAACUACGUG
RNAcentral lists this ribosomal RNA (497 nucleotides) under uncultured bacterium. Its description in RNAcentral is "partial 16S ribosomal RNA". It matches the Rfam family "Bacterial small subunit ribosomal RNA", at positions 28 to 507 of the family's 1533-position model. The record is from RNAcentral.